RNAcentral lists this long non-coding RNA (470 nucleotides) under Pan troglodytes (chimpanzee). RNAcentral's name for it is "long non-coding RNA NONPTRT001110". The record is from RNAcentral. Lineage: Eukaryota; Metazoa; Chordata; Mammalia; Primates; Hominidae.
UGCAAACCUGUUGAAAUCCAUUGCAUACUGUGGUAAAUAUAGUAAAUAGUACUGCAUUGUGCAUUUCAAAAUCACUGAGAAUACACCACAAAAAAUGAUACCUAUUUGAAGUGAUAAACAUAUUAAUUAACUUGAUUUAAUUAUUCCACAUUGUAUUCAAGAAUCACAUCACUUUGUACCACAUAAAUAUAUACCAACUAUAAUUUUUUAAAUUGCAUUUAAAACUAAAUAUUAAAUUUGUUAAAAUAAAAAUAUAUAAGGAUUUUAAAAUAACUUAGUGGUGCAAAAUCUCAAAGUGAAAUGAACCAUCAUGCUAAUAAUAAAAAAUAAAUAAAUAAAGCAAGAUGGCCAUGUCCUAAAUUGCCUUUUUAAAUUUUAAGAUGCACAAAAUUACAUUAUUCUUAUAACUUCAAUAGCAUUUGGCUUUUCUCAAUCAAAUCAGUUUUAAUUCCUUCUAAAAAUACAAGUCU